Molecule: non-coding RNA, 28 nt
Filed under: Rattus norvegicus (Norway rat)
Lineage: Eukaryota; Metazoa; Chordata; Mammalia; Rodentia; Muridae
Source: RNAcentral
UGAUGUGUACAUGAUAUGCCUAGGAUGU